Molecule: ribosomal RNA, 439 nt
Filed under: uncultured bacterium
Lineage: Bacteria
Description: partial 16S ribosomal RNA
Rfam family: Bacterial small subunit ribosomal RNA
Source: RNAcentral
CUACGGGCGGCUCCAGUGAGGAGUAUUGCACAAUGGGGGGAACCCUGAUGCAGCAACGCCGCGUGGAGGAUGACGCAUUUCGGUGUGUAAACUCCUUUUAUAUGUCAAGAAAAUGACGGUAGCAUAUAAAUAAGCACCGGCUAACUCCGUGCCAGCAGCCGCGGUAAUACGGAGGGUGCAAGCGUUACUCGGAAUCACUGGGCGUAAAGGACGCGUAGGCGGGUUGGAAAGUCAGGUGCGAAAUCCUACAGCUUAACUGUAGAACUGCACUUGAAACUUCUAAUCUAGAGUAUGGGAGGGGGAGAUGGAAUUAGUGGUGUAGGGGUAAAAUCCGUAGAUAUCACUAGGAAUACCUAAAGCGAAGGCGAUCUCCUGGAACAUUACUGACGCUAAGGCGUGAAAGCGUGGGGAGCAAACAGGAUUAGAUACCCGGGUAGUC